This 526-nucleotide ribosomal RNA is filed under the name uncultured bacterium. RNAcentral's name for it is "bacterial SSU rRNA". It matches the Rfam family "Bacterial small subunit ribosomal RNA", at positions 777 to 1304 of the family's 1533-position model. The record is from RNAcentral.
AAUAGAUACCCCGGUAGUCCACGCUGUAAACGUUGGGCGCUAGGUGUGGGGGGCCUCUCCGGUUCCCUGUGCCGCAGCUAACGCAUUAAGCGCCCCGCCUGGGGAGUACGGCCGCAAGGCUAAAACUCAAAGGAAUUGACGGGGGCCCGCACAAGCGGCGGAGCAUGCGGAUUAAUUCGAUGCAACGCGAAGAACCUUACCUGGGUUUGACAUGGCCGCAAAACUCGCAGAGAUGUGAGGUCCUUCGGGGCGGUCACAGGUGGUGCAUGGCUGUCGUCAGCUCGUGUCGUGAGACGUUGGGUUAAGUCCCGCAACGAGCGCAACCCUCGUUCGAUGUUGCCAGCGCGUUAUGGCGGGGACUCAUCGAAGACUGCCGGGGUCAACUCGGAGGAAGGUGGGGAUGACGUCAAGUCAUCAUGCCCCUUAUGUCCAGGGCUUCACGCAUGCUACAAUGGCCGGUACAAAGGGCUGCAAUACCGCAAGGUGGAGCGAAUCCCAAAAAGCCGGUCUCAGUUCGGAUUGAGGU